Molecule: ribosomal RNA, 383 nt
Filed under: uncultured bacterium
Lineage: Bacteria
Description: bacterial SSU rRNA
Rfam family: Bacterial small subunit ribosomal RNA
Source: RNAcentral
AGUAACGCGUGGAACGUGCCCUUUGCUACGGAAUAGUCCCGGAAACUGGGUUUAAUACCGUAUACGCCCUUCGGGGGAAAGAUUUAUCGGCAAAGGACCGGCCCGCGUUGAUUAGGUAGUUGGUGGGAUAAUGGCCUACCAAGUCGACGAUCCAUAGCUGGUUUGAGAGGAUGAUCAGCCACACUGGGACUGAGACACGGCCCAGACUCCUACGGGAGGCAGCAGUGGGGAAUCUUAGACUAAGGGGGAAACCCUGAUCUAGCCUAGCCGCGUGAGCGAUGAAGGCCUUAGGGUUGUAAAGCUCUUUCGCCUGGGAAGAUAAUGACGGUACCAGGUAAAGAAGCCCCGGCUAACUCCGUGCCAGCAGCCGCGGUCCUUCGGGC